Molecule: long non-coding RNA, 1236 nt
Filed under: Lactuca sativa (garden lettuce)
Lineage: Eukaryota; Viridiplantae; Streptophyta; Magnoliopsida; Asterales; Asteraceae
Description: long non-coding RNA (LSAT_LNC007500)
Source: RNAcentral
CUAAAAAUGAGGCAACGACGAUGUGUAGAGCUACUCAAUGAUUACAAAUGCGAGAUUCGCUAUGAUACCGGUAAAGUCAAUGUAGUAGUAGAUGCCCUUAGUCGAAAAGAGUACUCGGGCCACCGAGUAAAUUCUCUAACUAUGAUUAUCCAUUCCAACAAGUCCACACAGAUCAAGGAGGUUCAGCUGGAAGCCUUAAAAACCCGAGAACGUGACAGGUGAAGUCUUAAAAGGAAUGGAAAAAGAAAUUGGAAAUCAAGGGUGACGAAGUUUGUUAUCUCAUGAAUCGGAUCUGGACACCGAAUUUUGGUGGCUACAGAGAUGUUGUCAUGAAUGAAUCCCAUAAAACUCGAUAAUCCAUUCAUCCAGGUUCAGAAACAAUGUAUUUGGAGCUCAAUAAACUCUAUUGGUGGCCUAACAUGAAAUCUGAGAUUGCUACCUAUGUGGGCAAGUGUCUGACUUGUGCCAAUGUCCAGGUAGAAUAUCAAAAGCCCUCAGGUAUACUACAACAACCAGAAAUACCUGAGUGGAAGUGGGAGUGCAUUACAAUGAAUUUCAUAACCAAGUUACCUAGGACAACGAGUGGCCAUGAUACCAUUUGGGCAAUCGUCGACAGAUUAACCAAAUCCACACACUUCCUGCCAAUAAAGAAACUGACAAAAUGGAGAAGUUAACAAGGACGCACAUUAAAGAGAAAAUAAAGAAACUGAAAAAAUGGAGAAGUUAACAAGGACACACAUUAAAGAGAUAUUACGAUUGCAUGGUGUGCCAAUAUCCAUUAUCUCUGACCGAGAUAGUAGAUUUACCCCGCGGUUUUGACAAUCGCUACAAAAGUCCUUGGGAACCAAUCUUGACAUGAGUAUAAUGUACCAUCCUCAGACUGAUGGGUAAAGUGAAAGAACCAUACAAACGCUGGAAGACAUGUUGAGAGCUUAUGUAAUAGAUUUUGGUAAAGCUUGGGAUACCCAUUUACCACUCAUCGAAUUCUCGUACAAUAAUAGGUAUCANUCCAGCACAUAUUUGAUCAAAAAGAACUAAAAAUGAGGCAACGACGAUGUGUAGAGCUACUCAAUGAUUACAAAUGCGAGAUUCGCUAUGAUACCGGUAAAGUCAAUGUAGUAGUAGAUGCCCUUAGUCGAAAAGAGUACUCGGGCCACCGAGUAAAUUCUCUAACUAUGAUUAUCCAUUCCAACAAGUCCACACAGAUCAAGGAGGUUCAGCUGGAAGCCUUAAAAA